GACGAACCGUGCGAACGUUGUUCGGAAUCACUGGGCUUAAAGGGCGCGUAGGCGGCAGACCAAGUCCGGGGUGAAAUCCUGCAGCUUAACUGUAGAAGUGCCUUGGAUACUGGUUUGCUCGAGGGAGGUAGGGGUCUGUGGAACUUCUGGUGGAGCGGUGAAAUGCGUAGAUAUCAAGUGGAACACCAGUGGCGAAGGCGAGUCCCUGGACAACUCCUGACACUGAGGCACGAAAGCUAGGGGAGCAAACAGG
Molecule: ribosomal RNA, 253 nt
Filed under: uncultured prokaryote
Description: partial 16S ribosomal RNA
Rfam family: Bacterial small subunit ribosomal RNA
Source: RNAcentral